UUUUAAUCCAACAUCGAGGUCGCAAACUUUUUCAUCGAUAUGAACUCUCCAAAAAAAUUACGCUGUUAUCCCUAAGGUAAGUUAAUCUUUUAAUCUAAAAUAAGGAUCAAAAAAACAUAAAUUAAUGAAAAGAUAAAUUAAAAGUUAAAGAAAUUUUAAUAUCACCCCAAUAAAACUUAAAAAAAUAAAAUAAAAAAUUAAAAACAACAAAAUAAAAAUUAAAAAUUAAGUAAACUUCUAUAGGGUCUUCUCGUCCUAUAAAAAAAUUUAAGCUUUUUAACUUAAAAAUUAAAUUCAAUAAAAUUAUUAAAAAAAAGAAUAUUUUUCAUCAAACCAUUCAUUCUAGCCUCCAAUUAAAAGACAAAUGAUUAUGCUACCUUAGUACAGUUAAAAUACCGCAGCCUUUUAAUAAAAAUCAAUGGGCAGGCCCAAUCUUAUAUUAAAAACAAAAGAACAUGUUUUUGUUAAACAGGCG
This 475-nucleotide ribosomal RNA is filed under the name Rheumatobates rileyi. RNAcentral's name for it is "partial 16S ribosomal RNA". Lineage: Eukaryota; Metazoa; Arthropoda; Insecta; Hemiptera; Gerridae. The record is from RNAcentral.